This 407-nucleotide ribosomal RNA is filed under the name uncultured bacterium. RNAcentral describes it as "partial 16S ribosomal RNA". It matches the Rfam family "Bacterial small subunit ribosomal RNA", at positions 28 to 526 of the family's 1533-position model. The record is from RNAcentral.
GACGAACGCUGGCGGCGUGCCUAAUACAUGCAAGUAGAACGCAGUAGCGAACGGGUGAGUACCGCGUAGGUAUCUCCCUCAUAACGGGGGAUAACUAUUGGAAACGACAGCUAAUACCGCAUACCGUGAGAUGGACUUGCGUUGUAUUAGCAAGUUGGUGAGGUAAAGGCUAAACAAGGCGACGAGACAUAGCCGACCUGUAUGGAUGAUCGGCCAAACUGGGGCUGAGACACGGCCCAAAAACCUUCGGUAGGGAGCAGUAAGGAAUCUUCGGAAAUGGGCGGAAAUCUGGCCGAGCAACGCCGCGUGAGUGAAGAAGGUUUUCGGAUCGUAAAGCUCUGUUAGUAGAGGAGCGGUAACAAACCAGAAAGGGACGGCUAACUACGUGCCAGCAGCCGCGGUAAUAC